This 1397-nucleotide ribosomal RNA is filed under the name uncultured bacterium. RNAcentral describes it as "bacterial SSU rRNA". It matches the Rfam family "Bacterial small subunit ribosomal RNA". The record is from RNAcentral.
AACGUACGCUGGCGGCACGCCUAAUACAUGCAAGUCGAACGAAGUAGCAAUACUUAGUGGCAGACGGGUGAGUAACAUGUGGGUAUCUUCCCUUUGGUGAGGAAUAACACGAGGAAACUUGUGCUAAUACCUCAUAAGUCUUUACGGAGAAAGCUUUAUGCGCCAAUGGAUGAGCCCGCACUUGAUUAGUUUGUUGGUGAGGUAAUGGCUCACCAAGACUUUGAUCAAUAGCUGAUUUGAGAGGAUGAUCAGCCACAUUGGGACUGAGACACGGCCCAAACUCCUACGGGAGGCAGCAGUAGGGAAUCUUGCACAAUGGGGGAAACCCUGAUGCAGCGAUGCCGCGUGAGUGAAGAAGGCCUUUGGGUUGUAAAGCUCUUUCGUCGGGGAAGAAAAUGACUGUACCCGAAUAAGAAGGUCCGGCUAACUUCGUGCCAGCAGCCGCGGUAAUACGAAGGGACCUAGCGUAGUUCGGAAUUACUGGGCUUAAAGAGUUCGUAGGUUGUUAAAAAAGUUGGUGGUGAAAUCCCAGAGCUUAACUCUGGAACUGCCAUCAAAACUUUUUAGCUAGAGUUUGAUAGAGGAAAGCAGAAUUUCUAGUGUAGAGGUGAAAUUCGUAGAUAUUAGAAAGAAUACCAAUUGCGAAGGCAGCUUUCUGGAUCAUUACUGACACUGAGGAACGAAAGCAUGGGUAGCGAAGAGGAUUAGAUACCCUCGUAGUCCAUGCCGUAAACGAUGUGUGUUAGACGUUGGAAAUUUAUUUUCAGUGUCGCAGCGAAAGCAAUAAACACACCGCCUGGGGAGUACGACCGCAAGGUUAAAACUCAAAUGAAUUGACGGGGACCCGCACAAGUAGUGGAGCAUGUGGUUUAAUUCGAAGAUACGCGCAGAACCUUACCAACACUUGACAUGUUCGUCGCGACUUUAAGAGAUUAAAGUUUUCGGUUCGGCCGGACGAAACACAGGUGCUGCAUGGCUGUCGUCAGCUCGUGUCGUGAGAUGUUGGGUUAAGUCCCGCAACGAGCGCAACCCUCACUUUUAGUUGCCAUCAUUUAGUUGGGCACUCUGAAAGAACUGCCAGUGAUAAGCUGGAGGAAGGUGGGGAUGACGUCAAGUCCUCAUGGCCCUUACGUGUUGGGCUACACACGUGCUACAAUGGCAUUUACAACAGGAAGCAAGACGGCGACGUUAAGCAAAUCCUAAAAAAAUGCCUCAGUUCGGAUUGUACUCUGCAACUCGAGUACAUGAAGCUGGAAUUACUAGUAAUCGCGGAUCAGCGCGCCGCGGUGAAUACGUUCCCGGGUCUUGUACACACCGCCCGUCACACCAUGGGAGUUGGUUCUACCUUAAGGCAAAGGUUAAAAACUUUGACCACGGUAUAGUCAGCGACUGGGGUG